Long non-coding RNA from Haliotis rubra (blacklip abalone), 153 nucleotides. RefSeq lists it as uncharacterized. The record is from RefSeq and is a predicted model, not a curated record. The transcript is spliced from 4 exons. Lineage: Eukaryota; Metazoa; Mollusca; Gastropoda; Lepetellida; Haliotidae.
CGAAAUGGGUCAGAAUAACAGCCGUUUAUCCUUACAUCCUCUGUAUCGCGGAAAAUAAAAUCUUCAAUAUAACUUGUUGUAAGUUCCAGGACUACAAAUACCAAUUGCGCUUUUAAUGGCUUUCAGUAUAUAAUUUAGCCAAUAUAAAUACUU